This 113-nucleotide transfer RNA is filed under the name Planctomycetota bacterium. Its description in RNAcentral is "tRNA-Phe". Lineage: Bacteria; Pseudomonadati; Planctomycetota. RNAcentral also lists the same sequence under 1 other name. The record is from RNAcentral.
GGGGGGGUAAGAACCGGGAUGGCACUAUCACAAACGCCGUUUCUGGCUCAGCAGCUUUGAUACCUUUCGCAUUGAAAAUGCGGGUGUCCCCGGUUCAAGUCCGGGUCUCGCCA